Long non-coding RNA from Gallus gallus (chicken), 13447 nucleotides. The record is from Ensembl. NCBI's taxonomy places the organism in Eukaryota, Metazoa, Chordata, Aves, Galliformes, Phasianidae.
GGAUUCCCUUACACACCACAAAAUGACUUUUCUCCAGCAGCCUUGCUUGGCUGUGUGGAGGCUGAACUCGGUAAGGCUUUAAAGCAGGGAGAAAAUUGCGCUUCAUUUCUUCAUCUCCCUUUUGGUCCUUAUGAGGGUGGCUGGUGUUGAGUAAAGGAGCCUAUGGUGGAAGCUGCCUUUUUAUUGCAGUGCUGUAAACCUUGCUGCCUUGUUUUUGAAGGCCUGCUUGGAAGCUGAUGCUAGGGAGCUAUGUUUGCUUCUUGUGUCUCCUAUGGGAAAGGAAAAGAAGUCAAACAGGGAGAAGGCAGAUCAGGAGAAUGGGAAGGAAGGAAAGAAACAUUAAUGAAACAGUGUAAUAGAUCUGAGAUAAGUUAAGGCAUCUUAGCAGAAAGCUUUUCCGAAGUGUCCCCAGAUCUCAGUUUCCUGUCCUUCUUUUCGUUGGGGCGCUUUUACUGAGGGCUGUAACACAGAGCUGCCUGCCCCGGGAUGGGGCACUGCGCUGACUGAGCCGCUCCGUCUGUCCCGCAGGGAUGGAGGCUGCGCUCCGAUGGCUGCUCCGUGCGAUGGGAACGGGCGUCUGCAACGGCGGCAGGAGCCGCGUGAGGACCUCCCCUGGCAGAGGCUCUCUUGCUCCCUUGGCUGGGACGAAGUGCUGUGGCUGCAGGCAUAUGGGGCACACUGAGACAAACCGAGCAGCUUUUUGAGAAUGUCCUGAGACCCUUGGCAAUGGAGAGAGAUUGCAGUGCAAGCACUUUUCUGGAUUACUCUGUCACCGAUGUCAAAUCAAAGCAUCAAGGAUAUAAAUCUUCAGUAAACAUCUGGCCUCACUUCAGCCAGGUUAUGCAAUGCCUCAAGUACAUUCAGCAGCAGAUUAUGCUGCGUUCUCCAUUUGUGCAAUGCAAGCUAAUGUGAAUAUCAAGUCACAUCAGUGGUCUAGACAAGUAGUUGGGAGAUAAAGACAGCAACCCAAAGCGGGAAGUUUGGCCUCUCAGGGCACGUCAAGGGAAAACUGACAUGUCACUGAAGACCCAGAAAGAAAGAAUGCCAGAGAAGAGGUAAAUCAUAGAAAAGCCUAAGCAUCACCUCUGCUCAGAUGGAAGAAGAAAAAAAGAAAAAAAAGCCAGACCCAAACCUUGCCCACCUGGGCAUCCUGCGUGGGAUGGAAUCCAGCCCUGCACUGCCCAGCAAUGGGUCUCCUCCCUGCUUUGUGCAAAGGAAGAUUAAGCAGAAGGGAUAAGAAAAGACAGGGGAAAAAAAUGCAUUUCUUUGCAGUAAACACAGCCUGCAGCCAUCGGUUUCUCUCAGCAUUGGAUGGCAAUUAUUUCUGUGUAAUAAGCAGUCACCCGAUGACCCUCCCCUUCAGCUUGCAACGCUUCUGCUGUCAAGUGUUAAUCCCUUUGUUAGCUACUCAGCUGCACAUUCAUUUAGGAGGACUAAUGACUUACACUGUUCCUUCUCUGCACGAUUUCAGCAGACGUGUAAUUAGAGGUGAAUGGCAGCUUCAGAGGUAUGGCUACCACUGGGGCCGGGGGCAAAGUCAAAGUGUUUGUCUGAUUUCACCAUGGGCUGUUUCAGUGAGUGAAACCAUGUGGGCGGCUGCAUAUGGGGGGGAAAGGAAGUAGGAAAGGAGAAGCCAAAAAAAAGGGAAAGGAUAAGAGUCAGUUGUUGGGCAUUUAGGGAGCUCGGAUGUGAAAAGGAACGUGUUUCCAAAUAUUUCUUUGUUGGGGUGUGAGACUGAGCUGAAUGCCAGCGAGGAGCCUGUUGGCACACAGACUGAGAAGGUACCGAAAGGGUGAAAAGCUUUGUUUCAAAGUGCUGGAGAUCCGUAGUCGUUAGCAGAGUGAGUGUGAGAGCCAGAAAGUGAUUAAAAAAAAGUAUUUUGAAGGUGAGCUGAGGAAGUGCUCGCGUGCCUCCGCAGUGCCUUACAGAAUACAGCCUCUAUUUUUUUUUCUAAGUGAAAGCCAUCGAGGUCUGCAACACCUUGAGAAACAUCCUGUGGCUCUUACACCAUGGGAAGAUGUCCUUUUGAAGUGCAAGUGAAUCCCUGCGUAUGUAUUAACAUCACAGGAUGCAGUAGAAAAGUAUAACAGGGAGCUGAGGUUCUGAUGGAUUUCAGGUAACAACAACAGAAAAAAGCCACAAAGAACCCCAAACCUCUUAGCUCUGAUUUCUAUGCAUUGACAAAGCACAGCUUCGCUGAGCUGCAGCGCUGCUCCCUGUCCUUGCAGCUGUUGGGGCUGAGCCGCAUCCCAGCAGUGUGCGGUGGCCGCUGCUUUUGGUGCUGCAGCGCAGCAUCCCCGGGGCAAUGGACUUCUGCUCUGUCCCAGCAGCAGCGCAGCAUCUCGCAGCUCCCACAGCUGCAUAUUGUCCCCUGCUUUCCCUUUCUUGUUCUUUUUCUUUUUUUUUUCUUUUUGAAAGCUUACCCUGGGUUUUGCUCAGCCCUGUCUCCUCCCAGCAGUGUGCCUGCAGCCCAGGGCUCCCUCCUCUUGUCUCUUCUGGAGUGCGCUGUCUCUUUCCUUCACCCCCCCCUUGUGCAGACGCACAUCAGUGGCUGAUACAACAACUGUGUUGAAGAACAGCCACUUCCAUUCUCUUGGUUGGUUGGGAGGUAAGCAGAGUGCUAGUUCUAUGAAUUAAGAUAACACACCUGCACCAGCGCUUUGAAUUCAGGGGCAUCAUUUCAUUAAAAAUGACGAAACAGAAUAAAUCAAUAACUAAUUAAAAAUGGCUUUAAUUCAGUCUAGGCUUAUGAUCUAAUAUCUCACACAGUUGUCUAAUACAAUUAUAAACGUAAUUUCAUGCCUAAUGAAAUAUAAAUGAAGCAAAAAAGAACAGCAGACUCCAAAGAAACUUCUCCAUCAGUUGCCUUUGUGGCCCCUCCACCCUACCUGCAUCUCUGUCCCAUCUGUUAGGAAGCGAACAGCCAUCACGAUACAGUCUUAUCACUCAUACAAAGCCUUAUUAUUUCUCUGGUCUUCCCCUGCGAAGCGCUGAAGAGGAACUCGAGCAGCCUCAGAGAUGACACACGUUGGGCUUCCAUCUCCCCAGCAAUGCAGCCGUGUCGCCACUGUUGCUGUGCAGCCGGCAGGGACAGGACAUGGUGUGGCUGACAGCCCUGGGGAUGAGGACAUCCAGUUCUGAGGGACUUGCGGUCUGCUGGUAAGCAAACACAAUUAAUUAAAUGGACCUCAGAACGCUGCCUCUGCUUGCCACCCUUCGUAUGUCUGAACUGGAGCCCAUCAGUCAGCCUCUGUUGGUGCCGAUGGAACACCCGGGCAGCACUCGGGACAUCAGACAAACCUGUGGGAGGGGAAGACAGUUACAGUCUGAUUUUUGGAUGCUUGAGGUGAAGAAACAGGCUCUGCCCGUGCAGUCACAGAUGGGACCUUAUGAGAUAUUGGUCAUGAAGUGCCAUCAUGGAAACCUCUGCAGGAAGCUCAAGCUUCAGGAAUCCUAAGCAUCACCGGUCCAAACAAAUUUUGAACUUUCAAGCUGGGAAGGGAGAAAGCAUUUUCUUCUUGAUUUUACUCCAGCUAAAGCACAUUGGGCUGAUCCCGCUUUUGACAGUGCGAGUACUGAAGUCAGUCCUGCAUCACCACCAGUUCACAGACUGGAAAAGUGGAGAAACACCUGCUUGCUGCAGAGGAUCUGCUAAGGAAGUCCAAAGGGAAACUAUGCACAGAGGGGAAAAGCACAGGCCAAGUGAAACAGAACCAUGUGGGUCAUCGUUAUGCUGUUCCAGGUAGGACUGUGGAUACCAAAGCAGGGAUGGGGUGACGGGGCGACCAAAGGAACAAAGGAACAGGCCCACAACCACAACAUCAUAGCAGGAAUUUUACUUACCUUCAGCCUCAAGAGGACAGAGAUUGAGGGGAAUGACAAAGAGAAACAAAAGAUAGGAACUUGUUCCGGGACAAAGGGAUGUUACUAUUUAUGAACCUGCAAGAGAAUUAGAGCUGAAAUACUUAGACAGAAAAAAAAAAAAAAAAAAAGAGAUUUUAAUUAAUGGUGAUAACUCUUAGAAAAAGAACCAGAUUGCCAGCCCUGAAAACUGCCAAUUCUUUUUAUCCACAAUGUAUACACAACCUUGGGGAGGCUGCUGCUAAGAGCCCCAGCACAGGACAUUGCCCUGAGCUUAGAGAAGUCCAACAUCUCAGUGGUCACACACUUUGGCUUUUGCUGCAGCUGCACUUUACAACAUGAGUAGCUGUGCACUACAUCAAUUCCAUGAUACAAUCAGAUCCAUUGACAUGGACAAUUUGUCCCUAAUGACUUGAGUCAGCCUACAAAGGUUACCAAGAAUCACAAAUCCUACUCAGAUAAACGUAGAGUAGCACAGGUCCCAUUCAAGGACCAAACCUAAGGAAGUCAUGGUAAAUGGAUUACCAAGCCCUUCUAAUACCUAGGGACAUUCUUAUUUAAAAAUAAACUAUAAAAAUAAAGAAAAAUGACUCCUCAUUCAGAUCAAGUCAUUUUGGUUAAAUUCCUAUUAUCCUGUUUAAACAGCAUCCUUUUAUCCCAGUUUUGAGGAGCAUCAUAUCUGUGGGGGCCACAAGGCACAGAAUUUGGCAAAGCAGCAACUGCAGAAUUUCUUCCUGAGUUAGAAGAGAGGGGGAGGGAUUGUUUUUUUUAGUUGUUAAUACAUUCUGGAGCAAUGAGGUGUUAGCAGAAGCCUUUCACCAUCUCCCUCGACAUCCUGUUCCCCACCCCUCUGCAGCUGGAUGGGAACUCACCUCCCAGCAGUUCUAGGCAGACAGACUGGGGUAACAAAUCCCCUGGUAGAAAGAAAUGCAAUCUGACUGAUCCCUGAAAAUGUAAUUUCUAGUUCACGGGGGCUAACAGAUGCAGGUAGCUCAAGCUAAAGCAGAAGGGUACCACCUCACCACAGCUUUCUUACGGGAUGGAAAAGCAGUGAUCUUUACUACUAGAGACUGAUAUUGCAUAGAUUAAGUCAAAUGUAUCAACUUCGCUUUAACAUGAGUGUUUCUAUUACCUGGGUCAGAGAGUCUGUGCAGUCACUCUCCAGAACCCGCUGUUAUUAAUUCAGCAAUUAUAGCUUUAUGGUGGCAGGGAUUCCUCGGUGUUUGAGCUGGCGCUGGAAAGCUGUAAUUCUGAAUGGAACAUGACAUGAAUUACUGGAUUGCUGUAAUUCUUCAGCUUUUCAUGCAUUUUCACUGCAUAUAUUAAAAUACAGCAAGCAAUUCACUUUUAAUUAUGUAAAUUCCAAGACAGUAAGACAAGAGAUGGAUGAGUUUUUAAAUGCCUGCUCUGCCUGACCACCUGUGGCUAGCACAGAAAGCCAUGGGCUCAGCAGGUCACCCUGCCCUCCGCACUCCUCCUCUCCCGGCUGUGCACAACACCGCCUCUUUUUAGUAUUCAGCGGUACUUCGAGAGCAAAGAGCACAGGAAAGAAAUGGCCAGAGGGGGGCUGGGAAAAGUCAGAUCCUGUCCACCUGCCUCCCUCACUUCUCUGGGUUUCCAAACAGACGAUACAUCACUGUUCUGACAUCAACAUAAGACCGCAAGGGCUGCAGAUAUUUACUGCUCUCUUAUUUGGCAAUUAUCUUCUCAAUGUUGAGAUGUUAUUAACAACUUCACCAGAAUAUAUGAGUCAGGAUCAUAAUUCUACAGCUCUAUGCCUGGCUUCUUUGCUGCUCCUUAGCAAAGCUCAUGGCUGCAACCAGCAGCACGUCCAUGCACAAGUCUGUGCAGUUAUUGUAAAGGAGAAAUAGGUUACACUGUUCUCAAAGACAUUGUUUUUAAACUGUAAGAUUCUGAGUGCAAGUAAUGAUGGCUUGUUAAAAGUCUAGUGACUGUAUCUAAUAGCUGCAGUGUUUGGCGCUGUAAUUACAGUAGCAAGAGAUUGCUGAGCACGUGUAAAAAAGGAAUAAUUGGGGUAGCAGCAACGCAAAAGCUUCUCUGGGCCUAAAGCAACUGUUAUUUUGCCCUCCUACUGAUGUGCCACUUAACGAAGCUACAAUGGUUGGAAACGAGCUCUCUUUGCAGUUAAGUUGGGUGUUUUCUGUUUAGGAGCCCUACGGUUUCACCCCCAGUACCUCCGCAGCUCAGGACGCAGAGGUAAAAUUACACAAACGCUUAUUGCCUUGCCCUGCGAGAAUACAUCUGCCUCUCCUCCCUAGACGCCAGGGAGAACUUUCAAGCAAGCAAAUUAGCAAUGCAAAUCUACAGCGACCUCUCCGAGGAGAGAGCACUGCUGUGCUCUGUUCUUCACGUUAGUAUUUCCAACCCUGGUGGACACUUUCCAUUUUCUCUAAUCUCUUCAUCCUCUUUUCCCCACCUAGGGACGUUUCUUUGCUCAUCUCAGUCUCGCUUCUCUAAAGGUGGUUUCUUGCAGCUUCAUCAGCAGCUAUUCUGUCUGCUGGAGUCUUCUGCUGCUUUCCUGUGUGCCUAUUGCAGAACUGCAAAAGAACACCAUCUUCCUGAAGUAGUAGAUGGAGUGCGUUUCCAUCCUGCUCUUGGCAUUGCUAUUACAAGCUUCACUUGGAUGUGGCAUGUGCCCCCAAACCCUGGAAUUCAGCCUCAUCCCCAAGCUUUUUGAACCUCUCUGCUCUGUUCUGGCAUACCUAUUGAUCACAUCUAUAUAUCUAGCCAGAAGCGAACCUUACCUUCACCCCUAAAGCUCCUGCAGAAACCUCACUUGUUUGUUAGUCAGCUGCUUUCCUGGGUCACUGCGGGUCUUUUCUAAAAAUCGUGUGCAAUUUUACCACUCGCUGAGCAAAGAACAGAACUACCUGCCUUCCUUCUUUACCUGCUUUGCUUUCACAGAGCAAUGCCUUUCUGGGCAGGGAUGCUACUGCAUCAGGCACUUACCAACAAGUAUCACCAUGUUCCCUACUUCUACUCCCAAGCCAUCGCAUGACUUCUCUCAGUCUCAGCGUGAGACAAGCCUGAUUUGAGCCAACAAAACAUCCGAACACAUGUUCCUCUAUGAAUUCAUCAGCAGAAAAGGCUGAGACCCCAGAACUAAACAACUGUGGUACUCUUCCCACUGCAGUAGGAAAAGUACCUCUUGCUCAUUGUGAGCAGUCGCUGGAAACUUUUCUACGUUCCAGUACACAACAGGAAAAGCAGACACUGUGUUUAUAACCAGAAGGAAAAGAAGAGCGCAAAAGGAGCUGCUGGCUGUGGGACUGAGGGAGUUCUUUCAAAGUAUAAAACGAAGCACAAGACUUGUGCAGAUCCUUCUGUAUCCUGCCGUUGUGUAGCAAUGGCAGUUGCAACUCUUAACAUUAAUUCUGCAAUACACAUCUACUGCUGGUUCCACCAACCAAAGACUGUGUAAAGAUCACCUUGCAAUGAGAAUCAGUUUAGCUCCAUUUAUUUCUUUAACGUCAGUGGAAUCACAGAGAUCACUUAUAACCUUGCAUGUUAAGUAAAGCAAUUAAUUGCACUACUGCACCAGGUUUAGACAUGAAAGGCAGACUUAAUAACAGGUUUAAAGAAAAGGCUUAGAGUAGGGGUUCAGAAUGCAGAAUAAGGGUUAGUGACAGCUAAUACCAGCCUGUAUAUAGAGAGCAAGGUUAAUAGUUGGCUUAAAGAUUGCUCAGAUCAAUAAAAGAACAGCACAAUGUACAUAAUAAUAUUUGUUUCCAUCAGUGUUUUGAUGGAAACAAGUGGCAGAAGCACCAAGACUGCCCCUUCAUUUAAAGCAUGGUUUACAUGUGCAUGCUGGCUGCCAGACUGGAAACAUCCACUUCUGGCCUCGUCUCGGGGGGCUUCCCAUGCAGCUGGUAGAGAGCAUGGGAUGCAUUUCACAUCAGACUACAAAGGCAUCUGUGGAGCCUGGCUGUGACAAGGUAUCCUCCAACCAGACAUCAGUGCGGGGUGGGAAUGGCCCCGUACUGCCAAGACACGGAGGGUCUGGAGCCUGGGGUGGACUGAAGAAAUGGGGUCUGGGUUAACAGCAUGGCUGGAGUAACUGGUGAGUACAAUAGGGCACAUAACACUUUUUGCAGAGGUCUGAAGGUGAACUGACAUACAGCUCUCAUUUUCAAGGAACAUGGGAGGCCUAUUUUGCUUAUUGCUGAAAGAAAUGUAAGAAUGUUUGAAUUUGAGGCGCCUCAAUACCUUUUUAAUACCUUUGUUCUUAGCGUUCUUAACACCUGCUUAGAGCGAGCAGAAGUGGAGGUUGGCAGGGAAAAAUUAGCAAUUGCCCACCCAUCAUUCAUUUCCCAGGCUGUUCCCAGGGCACAGCAAUUAUGCACUUCACCUCACUCAGGACAGGCUGUAAAAUCUCGGUAUUGUCCUUAAGUGCUAAAUCAAAGCAAGCAAAAAACGGUAAGUAAAUGUUUCCCACGCAACUGCUGCCCUUUGUAAGAAAACUAUUGAACUGAAAAUGAAAGGCAUCCAUAGGUACAUAACCAACGUUUCUAAUUUUACUUGCAGUGAUCCAAGGCGCUGUUUAAACAGCGAUGCUAUUACAGAUUUACUUAGCUGGUUUCUUUCUGAGUGCACCAGAACCCUGAUCCUUGCAACAAAGAAUGCCAAACAAAGCAGCAUUAGGCAAGUUACUGUGAAACGAAGGCAUAUUUGCACAGCAAUAGAAAGAUCUAAAUGGGACCAUAACGAGCAACCAAAUAGUAACGCAGUUGAGGGCAUUGCUUUGUAGGAAACAAGUGGCUAUUCUGAACCCUGAAGUGCCAAAUGUACUGAAUCACAAGAGCUCACUAAAAUGAGAGCAAACAUCUCAAUCCCUUCUGAGUAUGUACAAAUAUCAAAGCGAUUUGGGGCUGUUAACCUCCUCAGCUCGGUGACGGUAUCUUCACCAUCAGCGCACAGCACUUCCCUGUUCACAAACUGUCCGUAUAAUGGUUCGGUUUGACUGCAGCGCAAUGCAUGACUGAGGGGACGUUAAUAUCGAACAACUCUGAGUAGCUCAUCACCAAGGAUGAUUUAAAUAAAACAGAAAGUAAAGAAAGCAACACUACCCUUUGUAUCUGACAAUGUAGAGGGCGAAGUCGUGCCCAAAAUAUUUGGAUUUUUGUUUUCACAUGGAUUCCAUUGCUCCCACCUUCCUAAAGAGCCGAACAGUUUUAAGUGUACCUCCUUUGUUUCUGCUGCUCUGUCCUCUCUAGUUCCAAAGCUACAGCUGAAGUGCAUCCAUUCCCCCUCCCCUGCUCUGGCAUCCCAGCAGGACGGCAGCCAGGUCUCCUCCUGUAUGCCUCACCGUGUCAGCUCAAUUCCUCCCCCUAGAAACUGCCUUCCAGUUUUCUGAAUGUUUGGGGACACAGAUAAAUUGUAAAGUGGUCAUGGAAAUAUAAGAAGCAAAGAUAUCUUUCUUUCCAGAUUAGAUAAUUAUCCACUGAGAGAGGAAAUAGCAACAACAAAACGGCUUCAAAUUCUUCUGAACAUAAUUGAGUCUUUUAAGAAAUACCCCAACACCUAAACAGCCAUUCCUUUACUUGGAGGAGGGGAAAAUGCCAUAAAGCUUAAGGAGCAUUUUGUUCGGGAAAUCACAUCUUUCCCUAUUUUGCAGCUGACACAUUGCAUUGCAGAUCUGUCACAGCACAUUACCUCGGUGAUGUAACGUAACGCAACACUGCUGAUGCGACCCAAUCCGAUGUGUCCAACGUGAUACAUCAGCUACAAUAUCUGAAAAGCUUUUUUUCUGAAAACAACCUGUAUAGAAGGGACUCCUCUUUACCAAUUAAAAAAAAAAAGCCUUCCCAAAGAAUUGCAUCACCGGGAGAUAAUUGCUUUUUCACAGGUAAUUAGCAAAUACAAUUAGUUGUGGGAAAAGUUUGCUUUUCAGCAAUUCACACCAAAAAAAAAAAAAUGGUGAACAAAAGAUGACUGUGGCUGACAAAUAACCGCUUCCCAUGGCACCAGCUGAACCCACCCGAGUAGCAGCGGUUACAGGCUCAGAUCACACCACCACCGGACUCACUUUCUGUUCCCCACCAACACUCAGAGGAUAACCAGAAGUUCACCUUGUGAACUCUUCACAAACUGUCUGGCAGCUGAUUUUGCUCACCUGUGCAGUCGAUGUUAAUCACAGAAUCAAACAAAGAUACACCUCUCAGCACACGCCAUGGGAAGCUCUGCAGAUGCUUUGAGGACUACCUGCAGUCCUGCAGAGAAUUGCUGGAUUUUCACAGACAGGAGGACACGGUCCAUGUCACCAUGAUCAGAUGAAUACUAAGGAUCAAUGGCCUUAAAUAUUCUACUGGAGUGGCAGUGGUAUUUGUCAGCAGAGGAGACUUCAGCUCAAGCAAAUGACACCUUACCGCAUUGAUGGCAGCCAUCCAGAAAGCAACAACCACCCCUCCUCCCUCUAUCACUUGUUGGAGGGCAAAUGAAAGCUAACCUCACAGAACAGCCUGGGUUGGUGGAGGGCAUCCCAAAGAGCACCCAGUUCCAACCCCUGCCAUGGGCACGGCCUGCCAACCACUCCAUCCAUCACUCAGUCCCCUCAAACUGCCAGUGGCUGCUAUGGAGGGCUUCAGAGGCAGAAGCAGCCAUCCCCCCACGGCGCUCCCUUUCCCUUCCCCACCCAGCGCUCCAUGUGCAGGCUGCCAGCAGCAGGACUGGGGCGCAGACAGGGCGCCAGGCCCUUCCACUCACUGCUUAGACUGAUUUUUCAAGUGUAAAAUGUAAUUCAAAUCUCCAUAAAAAGCUAUUUGCUCCCUAGCCUCGCAAUUCUUACACCACGUUUCAACCGUGAAAUCCAAUUGGAAAAAAAAAAGAAGCCUUAUGUUCAAGGUCUGAAAAUCCUGCAAGAGCCUUUAGCUCUCAGACUGAAUUGUAUCUUAAACGCCAUCUGACCAGUUCUGUCUCUUUCCUCUGAUGGGAUGGCGUGGUGCCUGGUCUCUAAAUGCCUGAUCCUGAUUGCUGGGCACCCCCCAGACCUAAAUUCAGGUACUCGUGGGCUAUGUGUCCCUCCACAAAGCUGUUCUAACAACAGAAUCCAAGCUGAGCUUUCUCAAGUUUGAAAAUAUGGCCCAAAAUGCAACUGUGCAAAUUAAUCUCUGAAAUUCAGAGCCCAUGCUGCCCAGCUGUGAACGCCGCAGUAUCACAGCCCCCUCUGUACCAUACACACACAUAUUUCCAGCCCUUCCAGAUGCACUGCUGCUCUCCAUGCUGAGGCAAUUCAGCAGAGAGCACAAAUCCUGAUGCAUCUAUUGCAUGCCCUGGACUAUUCCCCCCCCCCCCCCCCCCCCCCCUCACUGAUGUAUAUCUGGAUACUCCAGACCUCUUGAAUAUAAAAACUCAUCACAGCACUCUGGAACACAGGUUGAUACCUCAGCUGAUACACACCAGUCAGACAAUUCAGGAGCUUUCACCAGUUCAAACAUUUUCUGAAUCAGGAACUUUCAGUGGGGUCCAAGUACGGUAACAGCACAGGGUUGCCAGCAGCCCAAGUUCUAACCCAGAAAUAGAUAAAGCUUUGAAUUGACACAACUUCUAAUCCCUUAGUUAACAUGAGUUAUAGGAAUCAACACUGAAUUAUAGGAAACAACACAAUGAUUUCUAUUUGCACACACGUUCUGCUCCAAUGCCAUAAAUCAUAACCACAACCUCCACUGGGCUUUCUACAGGCACAGAAAUAGGCAAAAAUCAUUCAUCUUUCAUUAAACACAAGAGAAGUUUCUGGCUUUUAUGAUGAUAACACAAAGCCUGCAAAUACAAUCUGUAUGUAUUCUACAGGCUCAGAAUGAGCCUCGUUAUCAGUGUAUCAUUAGCUACAGAUUGUCCCCUUGUCAAUAGGAUGUGAGAUGUUUCUGAAGAGCCCCGAAGUGAUGUGUGCCACACAUGUGAAUUGCUCCAUACACCCAACCCAGCACAACGUGCCACCUGACCGCGUUAAGCUCGCAGAAGAUAGAAAUCAGAAGAGCUUUUUCCAAACCAAACCUCCCUCUGGGUUCUCUCCUGACCUCUGGGUGUGAAGGCAUACGGCUCUCAAAAGGCAUUCUGGAACUUCCAGCCAUCCCUUAUAUCACACAUCUUUUGCUUUCUGCUGUUAUGACACCCAGCCCAUGGGACCCUGUGCUUCUGGGUGAAAUCGGCCACCCCAUUGGAAAGCCAUCAUGCAGUGGCAAUUAUUUCUCUGUGAGCACUAUUCACCCAAUAUCCUGCUUUCUGUUGGAAGAAAUGUUGGCCCGGGUGCCUGACUUCUAACGAAGAACACUUCAUUAUAUCUCAGGGACUGGGAAACCUCAUCUGUAUCUAUUUAUGUAGCACACCUAUGGCUGUGGGAAGAAAAUACCUUUUUUCAAGUCAUGGGUUUUGUUCCAUGACAUGGCAGUUAUCUGCGGCAACAUCAGGUAACAGCACCACCUUCUGCCAACACGUUACCAUCUCUGUAGAAAACCAAUAGAUGCAUUUUCUCUCUGCGAUUUCAGUGGCUUUCUCAAACACUUCUGAUGCAGACAACAAAGUUCAGAGCAAAGCCCUAAGGGCUGUUUUGAAACACCCCAAGCUGUCUUACAGUAAUGAAAUUACUGUCAUGUAACCAACUUCAGAGGUGCAAUGAAUGCCCUGAGCUGGGCAACGCAACAGGGUGAGGCCGGCACUAUGAAACAGCCCUGGGAGGACAGCUGGGCACAUCUGUCUGAGUCUCUACAGGAAACUCACUCCCCAUCUCCGCAGUGUUUUACAUUGGUCCCCAGAGGUGCACAGAAGGGUACGGUACGUCCUACAGCUUUAGAUGAUUUAAGAUGCCUGAAAAUAAUCAUCUUUCUUUUUCUAUAGGUUCUCUUUGUCCUUAGCAGACAAUCUGGGACUGCCUUGCCUUCAGAUGUCCAAAUUUUAGGCAGUUGACUUUCAGAGAGAUGAACAUUACACAAUACACGUAUUUGCUUUUGAGAGCAAAACUGUGUUUUUACCUCAACAAACGCCCUAUUUUCCUGCCAAAUUCUUCCCUCUGUGUGGGACCAACGUGCACAUGGAGCCAAGGAACGCAGGAGAAAUGGUGUCAGCGGACACAGAGGUGAAGAAUAAGGUGCCAAUCAAUAAACCAGUAAUUAGCUCUGUUUGGCAGGUUGGGGGUGUUUGGGUUUUGGUAUUUUGCUGUUGCGUUUUUUUUUUUCCUGCUGGUUUUGAAAGAAGUUUGCUUAUCUAAGUUUUAUAACCACUUAAAUGAAUCCCAGCUCUGUUCAAAUCAAUGAAAGCUUUUGCGAGACAGCUGUAAUUUUAUGUGCAUGUGUUUCAGUAAAUUAGAGGGUUUAGCCUUAAGGAUUCACUUUAGUGUAAUCUACUAAAAAGAUAAGUAGAGCCAGAUGCAGUGUCUUACAACCGCUGGACAGUCGCAACUGGAGCGACAGCACUGACAGCAACUUUAUGGCUUUCCUCAUAGGGAGCAGAUUUCCUGACUCAAAAAGAGCAGUAUUUUACAUAAAUAGUUGUCAAUAUUUUGUAUUUACGAUGCAAAGAAAGAAGGGUGCAAAUAGUGAAAAAAUGAAAUAAAAUUAGCCCAAACAACUGAUAA